GAUUUGCUUUGACGCGUUGACUUGAUUUGUAUACAACAAGAUUCUUGGGUUACCUCAAUUUUUAUUUUAAUGGAUAUAGCAAUGUUUUUUUUGAACGAAUUACUCACCGAGAGUGAUAGUUCAAGUAGCGAAGAGGAAGAUGGGUUGCGAGCUCGAGGUAUCAUGGUGCCCCGACCUAGAGUCCGACAUUUUAUGGAGGAAGUAGUGGAUUUUUACACAGACGUAGAAUUUCGAGAAAACUUCAGGAUGGACAGGGUCACUUUUAAUCACAUUUUGUCAUUGAUAAUUGACAGAAUAUCGACAAAUAUUAUAAAGGUCGACAUACUAUUACCCCAAGAGUUCAACUCUGCUUAGCUUUAUGGUAUUUCGGAACACCAGAUUCCUUUAGAUCCAUCUGUGGACGAUUCAACGUUGGCAAAGCCACUGCUUUGAGGACUGUAAGGCGAGUUGCAGAAGCUCUAUUAUAUAUAGGCCCAAAUUUUAUAUUAUGGCCCACGAAUGAUUAUCUUGAGGAAGUAAAAAACGGAUUUCAGCGAAUGGGAUUCCCCAACACAAUUGGUGCCAUAGAUGGGACACACAUAAAAAUACCGAAACCCAAAAACCAUGGGAAUUCAUAUGUUAACCGAAAAUCUUAUCCCAGUAUUAUAUUGCAGGCAGUCUGCGAUAAUACCCUGAAGUUCACCCACUGCUAUGCAGGGGAAGUCGGGGCACACCAUGAUGCUAGCGUCUUAAGGAGAAGUGAAAUUUGGAGUUUCAUGACAGAGGAUGGGAAAUUUCCAAAUGACACCCAUUUAAUUGGUGACAAGGCUUAUCCCUGUUUUCCAGAAAUAAUGACUCCCUAUAAAGACAAUGGCCAUCUAACAACAUAGCCAAAAACAAUAUAAUUUUCUAUUAUCUAGAGCAAGAUGUACAAUAGAAAGGGCCUUUGGCUUAUUAAAAAAAAGAUUCAGAUGUCAUGGUGAAUUAUUGGAUGUGCGUUCCUCUCAGUGGAGGCCUACAUAUAUUAUUGCAUGCUGUGUUCUGCACAAUAUAUGUAUUAUACAAAAUGAUGUGCAAGAUAUUAUUAUUAAUGACAUUGAAAAUCAUGAAGAGGAAGAGGAUGUCCACAUACCUCAGCAAAUAGAAAGAGCAUGGCAACUUAUGGGAAGAGUCAAAAGAAAUAGGAUUUGUCAAGAACUCAGUGAAUGAUCUCAGAUCUCUUCCACAAUGGCUAAUGAUUUAGAAUAAAGGCAUUUCGAAAA
This 1241-nucleotide long non-coding RNA is filed under the name Leptinotarsa decemlineata (Colorado potato beetle). Its description in RNAcentral is "uncharacterized LOC111505258". The record is from RNAcentral. Lineage: Eukaryota; Metazoa; Arthropoda; Insecta; Coleoptera; Chrysomelidae.